This 406-nucleotide ribosomal RNA is filed under the name uncultured bacterium. RNAcentral's name for it is "partial 16S ribosomal RNA". It matches the Rfam family "Bacterial small subunit ribosomal RNA", at positions 30 to 526 of the family's 1533-position model. The record is from RNAcentral.
AUUGAACGCUGGCGGCAGGCUUAACACAUGCAAGUCGAGCGAGCGGCGGACGGGUGUGUAAUGUCUGGGAAACUGCCUGAUGGAGGGGGAUAACUACUGGAACCGGUAGCAAUUACCGCAUACCAUCAGAUGUGCCCUGAGGGGAUUAGCUAGUAGGUGGGGUAAUGGCUCACCUGGGCGACGAUCCCUAGCCGGUCUGAGAGGAUGACCAGCCACACUGGAACUGAGGCACGGUCCAGACUCCUAGGGGAGGCAGCAGUGGAGAAUAUGGGACAAUGGGCGCAAGCCUGAUGGAGCCAUGCCGCGUGUGUGAAGGAGGCCUUCGGGUUGUAAAGCACUUUCAGCGAUGAGGCGUUACUCGCAGAAGAAGCACCGGCUAACUCCGUGCCAGCAGCCGCGGUAAUUC